This 240-nucleotide ribosomal RNA is filed under the name Salmonella enterica. RNAcentral's name for it is "partial 16S ribosomal RNA". It matches the Rfam family "Bacterial small subunit ribosomal RNA", at positions 1 to 236 of the family's 1533-position model. RNAcentral also lists the same sequence under 1 other name. The record is from RNAcentral. Lineage: Bacteria; Pseudomonadati; Pseudomonadota; Gammaproteobacteria; Enterobacterales; Enterobacteriaceae.
AAAUUGAAGAGUUUGAUCAUGGCUCAGAUUGAACGCUGGCGGCAGGCCUAACACAUGCAAGUCGAACGGUAACAGGAAGCAGCUUGCUGCUUCGCUGACGAGUGGCGGACGGGUGAGUAAUGUCUGGGAAAACUGCCUGAUGGAGGGGGAUAACUACUGGAAACGGUGGCUAAUACCGCAUAACGUCGCAAGACCAAAGAGGGGGACCUUCGGGCCUCUUGCCAUCAGAUGUGCCCAGAU